CCUACGGGUGGCAGCAGUGAGGAAUAUUGGUCAAUGGACGGAAGUCUGAACCAGCCAUGCCGCGUGCAGGAAGACGGCCCUAUGAGUUUUAAACUGCUUUUGUACAAGGGUAAACCUGAAUACGUGUAUUCAGUUGAAAUUACUGUACGCAUCAGGAUCGGCUAACCUCGCGCCAGCCGCCGCGGUACUACGGAGGAUCCAAGCGUUAUCCGGAUUUAUUGGGUUUAAAGGGUGCGUAGGCGGAUUGAUAAGUUAGAGGUGAAAUGUCCGAGCUUAACUCGGGAACUGCCUCUAAUACUGUUGAUCUGGGGAGUAGAUGCGGUAGGCGGAAUGUAUGGUGUAGCGGUGAAAUGCUUAGAG
This 360-nucleotide ribosomal RNA is filed under the name uncultured bacterium. Its description in RNAcentral is "partial 16S ribosomal RNA". It matches the Rfam family "Bacterial small subunit ribosomal RNA", at positions 338 to 695 of the family's 1533-position model. The record is from RNAcentral.